UCUGCAUAGAGCGAAUUGAAGGUGCGAGAUAUCCAAUCAUCACACGGUGGUGAUGGUGCAUAUAUGAUAAGGUGCAGUAGGGGGGCCUAGUGCAGCCGAACUCGCUGUAAGGAUUGGCAAGGGUAAGGAGGAUACAAUGAAGGAGGACUGUAAAGGGAAGAGCUUUCAGUCGUAAAUUUACAGAAAAAAUCUAGUUAGGAGAGAAGGAAUUCGCCUUUGAAUAUGAUACUUCGAAUGGGAAAGAUGAAUGGCAUAAAUAUGGCGGAAUUUUCAUCCUAAUACAGCCUCGUUACUUCUCUUUAAACCCAUUUAAUGAAUCGCUGAAUAUUGCCUAAUACUAAGCUUGUGAUCGGGCGGUUUCACUGUAAGGUGAUUGGAACGUGGCAUGGACUAUGAUAGUGAAACCCUGGCCUAUCGUAAGUGGGGGGAGUGGGGGACUCCCCGAUGCAUUGAUAAGUGUGACCCAAAAAAACAAGCGCUAAUUCAAUGCGCUAAAAUACGAUAAAGGUGCAUAGUGACACGCGUUAGAUCAUGGUAUAUGAGUAGCAAUAUUGUAGCAGAGGAAUAAUAGGGUUGGUAGUAAACGAGUAUAUACAGUGUUUAUAAACCGAAAGUCGAAUAGUAGGAAAAAUAGCAGUGAUGAGAGUCGAAAGACGAACAUCAAUAAUUUUUGUUUCUGUUUGACUUUUGAUCGUUGUUUAUGGACUUUUCCGUUUUUCAGUCAGCAGUGGUAAUUUGUGUUUACACUCGUAUGCCUUGUAUGCCCAGAACUAAAGCUCAUCUAAGCAAUCCCUA
This is a non-coding RNA of Schizosaccharomyces pombe (fission yeast), 795 nucleotides long. NCBI's taxonomy places the organism in Eukaryota, Fungi, Ascomycota, Schizosaccharomycetes, Schizosaccharomycetales, Schizosaccharomycetaceae. The record is from the annotation of a GenBank genome assembly.